GGGCUCGCCCGGCACCUCCUCACUGCCGGGAUCGCUCCGUAGCCGGGUGGGGAGGGGGCGCCCUAGAGGAGCGGAACAGAGAGCCGGAGCGGGGGCCGGGCCGGGCGGGGCGAGGGUCAUCCGGGGAGGGGGGCGAGCUAACGAGCACGGGAGACUCGAGGGCGCCUCGGGGGGACUCCGGAGGGGGCGCGCGGCGCCCCUGGGCCCGGCGCGGGCGGGGGGCGCACCCCCUUUACCUGCGGCUCCGGCUCCUCGGCCAUUUCCUCGCUCGGCGGCGGCCGGGACUGAACUGACACCACACGAGCGAGCCGAGGUGGCAUCCUGGUGCAACAAAGAAGACGUGGCAAACUGGGGGACACUGCUGUCCGUUUACUUUCUCUCCCGUGUGGAGGGCACGCUCAGAGAAUCAGAGCUGUCACCGAUAAGCAUACUGGCCACUGGACUAGCCAAAUCUUCACCCCUUGAAGUUAUCACUGCCUUUGCUUUAACAAGAGGAAACUGAGACUCAAGAUGAAAUCAAACGGCACUAAAAACAGAACACCUGCUCCAUUUUGACCAUGAGUACAUUGUCAGAGAGGCCUUGAAGGUGCCUUCCCAAGUGGAUUACCUGACCACAUAAAAGAGAGACAGGUAAUUUAUGAAAGGACUCUUCGUGGUAUUUGUACUUUGUCUAUUUCCAGCCUGUUGCAGCUUUCUCGGGACCCACCCGACCUCGAGGAUGGUGAGCGGGCUCCUGGGAGUGAAACCGAUGUCCGAUUUGUCGAUUUGUCGCAGUCCAGAGCGAGAUGCUACGGUGAGCUCCACCUGAGGGCUUCCUCCACGCCUUCCCACUCCGCCGUGUGGGAUUAAUUCAGACAUUUUCUGAAGUAUUUACUUAGACGCACUCUCCUUCUGAGUCAGUAUGGACUUUGUUCAUCCCAUUUCCUUGAAAUAUGUCCACCUUCAUGGGUGAACACAGGAGCGCGCUUUCUUCCAGAGCACACGUGGAUAGUAUGUAUUUACAGAGAUGUCAAACAGACAGACAUACAAAAAACAAAACAUGUAAUAUUUGAGCUUCCCUCCCAAAGGGAGGACAGGUGCUUCUCUGGCUUGUAGUAAACGUUGCAAGAUUGGUAAUUUGAUACAUAGCGAGAGAAUCCACUGCGGGGCGUCUCUCUUUUUUGUCUUUCUUUCUCUCUUCUCAUCAGACUGUGUGUCUGGCUUGGAGAACCAGCCAGGGACCCAAGUAGUGGUGAGCCCAACAACCUGCCACACCAGACUCAAGUGACAAAAAGUCUGAUUGUGCAAUAUUCUCAGCAGGUUGGCUUUCCACGUUCUAGAAAACGUUUUUAAUGGGUUUGAGAUCCUUUCACACUAAGCACUUUGGGCUUGAACUGUCGUGCCUUGUCAUGAAGUUGUGUUUGGAACUGUGGUGAAAGUCGGGAUUUUUCUCUUCCUCCUCUUUUUUUUUUUUUACCCCCCCCCCCCUUUAAAAACAAGAUAAGCCCCGUAUGCAAAUAGAGUCCACAGCGACCACCACCGUCCUGGUUCUCAGCUUUAUUUCUCCUGCUGCAGAGCCUGCCUUCACCCAUUAUACGCUAUUUGCAUACCUUUAACAUUAGAAACAUUUAUUCCAGGAAUGAGUCAUUGGAGGCAUCUUCUGCGUUUACAGCUCGGAAGCUGGACUCAGUAGCAUUAAUGCCAGAAGAAUGGAUGUCUUCUGUAUUAAAAACCUCGGGAUUGUUUGUGCGUAGAGAGAGACAGAAAGAGAGAGAGUUUCUGUUUUGUUUUUGUUUGUUUCAUUUGAAGAGUGAAAUGUGCUCAAA
This is a long non-coding RNA of Neofelis nebulosa (Clouded leopard), 1805 nucleotides long. RefSeq lists it as uncharacterized. The record is from RefSeq and is a predicted model, not a curated record. The transcript has 3 exons. Lineage: Eukaryota; Metazoa; Chordata; Mammalia; Carnivora; Felidae.